Molecule: long non-coding RNA, 576 nt
Organism: Zonotrichia leucophrys gambelii
Lineage: Eukaryota; Metazoa; Chordata; Aves; Passeriformes; Passerellidae
Exons: 3
Source: RefSeq, a predicted model, not a curated record
UGUAACUUUUAUCCCAGAUAGAUGGAAUCCUGGUGUGAUUGGGGGCAGCUGCCGAGUUACUCUGCUGCAGGACAUGACUGGGCAAUGCGCUGCAUCUACUGGGAUGCUGUGGGUCAUGCAGCUGCUCAUGAGGAACUUGGCUGAGCUGAGCCUGGAGUGUGUCUGCAACACGGGUUCUUCUAGUUCCAUGCCUGCAGCUGAGGAGGCAGAGGGCGAUUUGGUGAGUCAGCCACUUUCUGCAAAGUGUUUUUUACAGCUAUGGAGUAUUUGCUGUCUGAGUUGUAUCCACAUCUUCCUGACCAUAACCCCAUAAAAACUCAUCUGAAAGAGCUAAAAAAAAGAGGGAGAGGAUAUCAAAGACAUCCACCUUCCCUUUGCCUUGUUGAGGAACUAUCUCCAUUGCAGAGAUUAGAUUUGAAGCAGAAAUGCAGGCAUAAGUUUUUUAAUAAUUAUUUUCUACAGUUUGGCAUGCAAAAUAUAAAUGUAGAGAUGCAUUAUGACAAGAACAUUUCUCAUAAGUAUGUCAGAAGUGUAUGGUUCUGUAUUUGAAAUUAAAGUAGCCUUUGGCAAACCGUC